This is a transfer RNA of 71 nucleotides. It matches the Rfam family "tRNA". Rfam says of the family: Transfer RNA (tRNA) molecules are approximately 80 nucleotides in length. Their secondary structure includes four short double-helical elements and three loops (D, anti-codon, and T loops).
UAGAAAGUGGUGUAGUGGAGGCACUAAGAGUUUUGAUCUCUUCAGAUGGGGUUCGAUUCCCCUCUUUCUAG